This is a transfer RNA of Ovis aries (sheep), 57 nucleotides long. It matches the Rfam family "tRNA", at positions 8 to 63 of the family's 71-position model. From Rfam's summary of the family: Transfer RNA (tRNA) molecules are approximately 80 nucleotides in length. Their secondary structure includes four short double-helical elements and three loops (D, anti-codon, and T loops). The record is from Rfam. NCBI's taxonomy places the organism in Eukaryota, Metazoa, Chordata, Mammalia, Artiodactyla, Bovidae.
UGGCUCAGAGGUUAAAGCGUCUGCCUGCAACGCAGGAGACCUGGGUUCCAUCCCUAG